Callithrix jacchus (white-tufted-ear marmoset) is the source of this 4335-nucleotide long non-coding RNA. NCBI's taxonomy places the organism in Eukaryota, Metazoa, Chordata, Mammalia, Primates, Cebidae. The record is from Ensembl.
GCCUUCUCCACUGAUAUAAGAGUAUCUAGUAAUUUAGUCAUUCUUUUCUUUCUGGUAGAAAGAGGGAAACACCCUUACAAAUGGAUAUGUCUUUUUUAGACGUAAAUUUCCCUUGCAAACAUGAAACUUUCCCUUACAGAUUUAAAUUAGUGCUUUCUCCAUUGAUAACAGUAUCUAGUGAUUUUGUCAUUCUUUUCUUUCUGGUAGAAAGAGGGAAACACCUUUACAAAUGGAUAUUUCUUUUAUAGAUGUAAAUUUCCCUUACAAAUGUGUAACUUUUACUCUGUUUUCAGAGCUUCUCUUGUGUCUGCUGUUUCUCAAAAUAAUCAGCUCAAAAUAAUCCCUAUGCCAAACAGACAUAUUUUGGGGUGGCCUAUUCUGGUUUCCUACAGUCAUAUUUUCGGGUGGCAUAUUUUUGGUCUCCUGCCAAAGCAAAGGUUGGGAAUUAUGAAGUCAAAGAACCAGGGAUGAUGAAACAAAGAGGAACAAAUCUCAAUAGGCCAAUGAUAAGAGUCUAGAAGUUCAGAAUCAGGGGCUAUAAGGAAGAACUCAAUGCCCUCCUGCUUUCCAUCUAGCUUUCAUCUCUGCUAUCUCUGCUUCUCCUUGUGUAUUGGUCCCAUUAUCUCCUACUAAAGGCAAGCUUACUGUACAUGGCAAAUUAAAGACCUUUCAACAAUUUCUGGUAUGUAUCCUAAUACAAAAUUCAAGAAGAGUCAUCCCCCACACACAUACACUUUGCAUCUAAAAAAUUCUACAGAAAACUCUAAUUGGCCUACCUUGGGUCACAGGCCUACCCCUUGGACCAAUUUUUGUGGCCACUGUAUCAAAUGCCCAUUUCUGUGGCAGGGCAGGACAAUCUACUGUGAUAAAAAAUAUUCUACUAGAAUGCAUGAAAUGAGGGAUAGAUUCCCCAGAAGAAAGAGAAUGAAAGAAAAGAAAGAGAGAGAAAUCCUGAUCAAGGAUAGUGGAAAAUAAUUAGAUACUGCCUACAACUUUAAAAAAAGUAUCAAUGUAAACAUGCUAUUUAAAAUAUAAACACCAAAAAAUUAAAAAUUAAGAAGUUGAAAAUGUUGCCUCCAAAGAUGAAAGAGAGAUAAAGUAGAGGUUGGGGAUAGGGACUGGGAACCAAUAUGUAUUCAUCAUACACCUUGGAAAGUAUUUCAGUCUUUCAAUUAUGCACAAGAAUAAGUCAUAAAGAAGAAAAACUAAAUUAAAAACCAAAUAGUGGUUGAUGCCGGGUGUGGUGGCUCAUGUCUACAAUCCUAGCAUUUUGGGAGGCUGAGGCAGGAGGAUCACUUGAGCUCAGGAGAUGGAGACCAGCCUGGGCAAUAUAGUGAGACCUCAUCUCUAUAUUAAAAAAAAAAGUUUUUAAAAAAGUGAUUGAGUGGAAAUGAAACUCUGGGGAAGAAAUGUGUAGAUUUAAAAAUCAAACAAAAGCCAGGCACGGUGGCACAAACUUGUAGUCCCAGCUACUUGGGACACUGAGGCAGGAGAAUUACUUGAGGUCAGGGGUUUGAAGCUGCAGUGCCCUAUGAUCGUGCUUGUGAAUAGCCACUGCAGUCCAGCCCAGGCAACACAGCAAGCCUCUGUCACUACAUCAAAAGAAAAAAUCAAAUAAAAAUGAACAUGUUACCCCGUUUGUGAUUUGAAAGCAUAAUACGAAGGUAAAAUGACAUUCUCUAGGUACCUGCAGUCAAUUCAAAAUUUUCACUAUGAAUCUUUAACCAUUAUUUUGCCAAAAGUUUGUAAAAAUAAACCUCUAACCUACAUUUGUUUCUGAAUUCCAUGCUGUAAUUUAUAAAGUUUACGAAGUAUAGAAGCCCCAGUGGGAAAUUUCAUCUAAAUAAAAUAGCUUGAUAUUUUUAACUGCUGUAAUUUGAAAAAUGUUAUUUAAAGAAAAGAAAACUUUCUCUCUUCAAAAAAAUAUGUUUUCUAAAUACAGCAGUAAAUAGUUCAUUUUACUGGUAACUCAACACAUAUGGAGAUACCUGUCCACCAUUAAACUGUUGUCUACCUGCCUGGUUAAGAAGACGAGUUUCUACGCAUAUGGGCAGAAGUGGCUCAUGGAGAAACGAGAAGGUGGUGAGCUCUAAGAAACCACCUGUUAUAUGUUAUGGUUUCUCUAGUGACUCACCAGACGUUUGCAAAUGGGAAACUGGUCAAGAAGGUGAAGGAGGAUUGGGCGCGGUGGCUCAUGCCUCUAAUCACAGCACCUUGGUAAGCCAAGGAGGGAGGACUGCUUGAGCCCAGGAGUUAGAGACCAGCCUGAGCAACAUAGCAAGAAUUCCAUCUACAAAAAAAAAACAAAAACUCAUCUGGGCUGGCAGUGCAAACCUGUGGCCCCAGCUACACAGGAGGCUGAGGUGAGAGGAUUGUUUGAGCCUGGAAGGCAGAGGUUGCAGUGAGUUGUGAUCAUGCCACUGCAUUCCAGCCUGGGCGGCAGAGCAAGACCCUGUCUCUAAAAUAAACAAAUAAGAAGUGAAAGGGUUCAAAGCAGCACUGUCCUAAAGAAAUAUAGUGUGAGCCAUAUAUGGAAUUUUAAUUUUUCUGCUAGUCACAUUAAAAUAUAAUAAGAAACAGGUAGAAUUAAUUGUAAGGCUGUAUUUAAGUUAAUCUAAUAUAUCCCAAAUAUUAUCAUUUUACCAUGUAAUCAAUAAAAACAUUAAUAAGAGAUGUUACAUUUUUUGGUACUCAUUCUUCAAAAUCUGGUAUGUAUUUUACACUUAAACAGCACAUUUCAAUUUGUGGUAAGCCACAUUUCGAGUCCUCAACAAACACACAGGUGCCUAGUGUCUGCUAUAUUCCACAGCACAGAUACAAACUAUCAUCUUUUAUGUCCAAGCAAGACUCAAAAUUGAAGAAUGAUAAUUUACUAUGGAAGAUAUCUGAAAAGCAGGAAGGAUCAAUCAGAUGUGCCUAAGUUAGCAUUUCAGACAAGAGGGCUCCCCUUUCUCUCUAUGCCCCAAAGUCCUGUAGAUCAGGAUUGACUUCAAUCAGGAGUUCAUAAACUUUUUCUGUAAAGGGGGCCAGAGCAUAAGUAUUUUAGAAAUUGCAGGCCAGACAGUCUCUGUGACAACUAUUCAGUUCUGCUGUUAGAGCAUCAAAGCAGUCAUAGAUAACACCAACAAAUGAGCACGAUUAUAUUCUAAUAAAACUUUAUUUAUGGACAUGAAAAUUUGAAUUUCAUAUGGUUUUCAUGUCAUGAAAUAUUUUUUUCAAACAUUUAAAAAUGUAAACCCCUUUCGGACCUCAUGAAACCUACUAAAACAGGCUAAGGGCCAGAUUUGGCCCGCUGGCCAUUGUUUGCCAACCCCCAGAGGAUGGGGAUUAAGAAAGGGAGUGCUAGGAGAUUCUAUCUUAAUGACAGGAUGUGGGAGAGCAAAAUAUGCUGCCCCAAAAUAUAGAUUGUUGAGCUAACAGCAAUUGAGAAGAAGCAGAUGUAGGAAAGCUCUCUGCCCUCCUUCUAUUUGCCUAAAAGCAGGAUUUAGAUUUACAAAGACAAAAGGUAUCUUGCCCCCUUCUGUCAGGGAAAAAAAAGAUUAACCAACCAAGAAAAUGGUAGACCCAUAUUGGCUAGGAGAUGGCAUCAGAGGAAUCUGCAUCAACAAGCUUUACUAACUGGCUUUUUAACUGCCAUUAUUUGCCUUCUCACAAAUUACUGUCACUGGCCCUAGAAAGUCAAAGUCCUUUUUCUUUGUCUUGUCACUUGACUAAAAAUUUACUGUUUUUUGUUGUAGAUGUUAUAUAAGCUGGAAUUCAAACCACCUCUUUGAGAACUACUCAUUCGCUGGGUGUCUCCCAUGUAUGUGUGAAAUAUACGUGUUAAUGAACUACUCUUUGUUUUUCUCUUGUUAAUCUGCCUUUUUUUUUUUUUUUUUUUUACAGGAGUCCAUUCUAACUAAGAAACUAUGAGGCAUGGAGAAAAAAUUAUUUUGUUCCUACAGAGACAUUUCUUGCAGAAUAAAAACUAGAACUUUGGAAUCAAGAGAAAAUGAAAGGAGCACAGGAUGUGUGUUUUGCCAUAUCUGUUUUGACCCAAGUUCUGAUAUGAGUAAGUUCUUAUGCCUCAGUCAUAUCAUUGAUCAUCUCUAGUCCUUCCUACCAUCUGGAUGAUUACCACGGCAACGUUAAUGAGUCCAACAAUAGCUCAUAUACUUGUACUGCAUUAAAUCAAAAUUAUUAAUAUUUUGAACAGACUCUGGACAAAUUUAUCAUUUAAAAUGCAAAAGGAAUGGCUUAGUCAAGAAAUAAAUAGGAUUGCAGAGACUUAUAAAUAGCUUUAACAUUGCUAUACUAAUUUAGAAACAAUUCUUACUAUAAAUAAGCCAACUAUCA